GGACCCGCACAAGCAGUGGAGUAUGUGGUUUAAUUCGAAGCAACGCGAAGAACCUUACCAAGGCUUGACAUAAUACUGAAUAUGGUGGAAACAUCAUAGUCCUUCGGGACAGUAUUACAGGUGGUGCAUGGUUGUCGUCAGCUCGUGUCGUGAGAUGUUGGGUUAAGUCCCGCAACGAGCGCAACCCUUGUCAUUAGUUGCCAUCAGGUAAAGCUGGGCACUCUAAUGAGACUAUCGGUGAUAAACCGGGGGAAGGUGGGGACGACGUCAAAUCAUCAUGCCCCUUAUGUCUUGGGCUACACACGUACUACAAUGGCUAUUACAGCAGGCAGCGAAGGAGUAAUCCGGAGCAAAUCCCAAAAGAUAGUCUCAGUUCGGAUUGUGGGCUGCAACCCGCCCACAUGAAGUCGGAAUUGCUAGUAAUUGCAGGUCAGAAUACUGCAGUGAAUACGUUCCCGGGUCUU
This 464-nucleotide ribosomal RNA is filed under the name uncultured bacterium. RNAcentral's name for it is "bacterial SSU rRNA". It matches the Rfam family "Bacterial small subunit ribosomal RNA", at positions 917 to 1382 of the family's 1533-position model. The record is from RNAcentral.